CAUUUUCUUCUUUAGUAGCAGCGAAAUAUAAAAAGUUUGGCCACAGGAAGGGCCGGCUAUACCAAUAUACCCAAAAUAUCAGAUAGGAAAAUCUUCAGGAAUAAAAACCUCAAAGAAGAUAAAUAGUUUAGAAAACACCGUCAAACGGCUAUAAACAAAUAAACAAAGCAGCAACAAAGCAAUUUAAUUAGUCACGGAGGAAAUAAAGGGAAAGAAAAGUUAUUGCUAUAAUAAAUGUAAAUAUGUAUAAACUCCACAAAGAGUGAAAUAGAGGCGACAAAGAGUACAAGCAUUAAUAGAUCAUAACGACAGAGAGAAAAUUAGGAAUACCCAUUGCCAAAUGUUGCUAAUCAUAUAUCAAGUCCAUUGUCCCCUUAUACCUAUUUAUGUCGUUAGCGAAGAGUCAGAUAUAAGGGCAAGGUCGGGAAUUAUCGUGCGGUUCAGCGAAUCAAGGUUUUUAAACAAAUUGAGCCUUCGGUUUCUUUUAAGGAUUACAAACUUCCGUCUAAGCCUAACUGAGAACGAAGGAAACACCCACAGCUUCAGCUUUGCUAGAACAACAUCGUUCCCUGAGACAACAGCUAAUAAAGCGCGACAGAAGUUUCUCGAAUUUGGUUCGCGCCACCGACGUAUUGGUUGUGCUUCUGUGAACUGCCAUCUCUUAAAGCCGUGCAGUAGUCAGGAUGCUUCUGAAACGUGCUGCUGUUCAUAAGCAGCAAAUUUCUGUCCCGCAUAUCUAUCUAUAAUAAUCAUGUAGGAGAGAGAGAGAAGAAAAUAAGAGCGACACAAAUGAGACUUUCCAUGGUAACAUUUUGUUGGUCAUCCUGUACUAGGGCAAGGGUUAAAUUGAUCAAAAAGUACGAGACGGCGGCACGAGAUAAGAAAGUAAGCACGAGGAAACGUGCAAGAACUUCUACACCAUGCCACGAGUUCGCAUGUCUUUUGACAAAGCGAAAAAGAGCUUUCAUGCUCCGAACACUGUGGACCAGUGUACUGAAGUGAAUUCCGGAGUUUUACAUGCCAAAACUUCAAUUUGAUUAUGAGGCACGCCGCAGUGGCGAACUGCUGAUUAAUUGUGGCCACCCUGGUAUCUCUAACGUGCCCCCAAUUCACGGGACACGAGCGUUUAGGCAUUUCGCCCCCAUCGAAAUGCGGCCGCCGCGGCCGGGAUUCAAUCCCGCGACCUCGUGCUUAGCAGCACAUCACCAUAGCUGCCAAGCCACCGCGGCUGGUUCUGGACCAGUGUACCAAAAUUUUGGCGGGACACUGGGCACCAGUUCAAUCUGUCUAGCGCUAUCACGGGAUAUUUGCGCACUUGUAGCGAGGGUGGCUGUACUGUAGCCAAUAUUUCAACCAAUCCCAACCCUUUUAUGGGCAAGAACGCUCUCAAAACUGAGCCGCUGAUUGCUUGGCGCCAUGCGCAUACUUUUCGCAAAGCUGUGGGUAUUAAGGGAGACAGAUAAGUUACCUAUCAUUUCCUUCGUCUCUUACUAUUUCUGUCUCAAUUUUUUCUUAGUAAAGCACGAUUGAAGUCUGCUAGAUAGCUGCCGCCGUGCAAGUCUCGCCCUUGGCCUGCAAUAUUUCGUGCGCCUCUUUUUACAAGUGCGUCGUAGGCCGCGCAGGCGGGUGCAUUAGCUUUCUGUUGCUUUCAUCAUUUUCACGGCUGCUAUCCAAAGUAGCGAGUACGCGUGCACAUCACGCGUUGCUGCGUGUGCACGGCCCUGUCCACUUUGUGCAUUUACUUCAAACUGUGCGUAAUUUUUUUUAAACGAGUAAGCUGUGCCCCUGAUCUGCGAACGUAUACCUGUACACCGACUUGCUGGCUUAACCUCUGACCUGACGUGUUUCUCGCGGCAGUAUGCGUGUCCUCUACACGGAAACCGCGGGGGCCCCUGCUGACACAUGCGACCUUGUGAGACGUUGAAACAGAUGGCUAGACGCUGUCUGGGCUGUCAUUGCGCGAAGCAGCCCUCUUCUUUACGACACCUCGGCCUUCGAGAACCAUAUGCAGACGCUCAGAAGAAGGAUAGGCGUAUCUCAGGCGGCCGAUGAUUAUACUGGCAGCCAAUCCUUGUACCCUUUAGCCAUGAGAACUGUGGUGCUGUUGUGCUGACAACACUAGCUUUGAAGGGCUGAACUUGGAAGUUUCUUAUGCUAACAGGUCGGUUAGCGGCGAGUUACGGAUCGAUGCCGAGAGAUGCUUAAUCUGAAGGAUAGAUAGACGCCUUAUCUCGGCCAUCUAGAGCGGCCGAUGAAUUUCGUUCUGAUAGCUGCGCAAGUUGCGUGGUAUCCCGUAUCUGUAAUUGUUUUUGCUGUGAGUUGUUGAAUAUUAUUUGUUAUAGUUGUGGAGUGCCACGGUAUCCGAAUUUGUUAAAUAAUAAUAAUAUUUGGGGUUUUACGUGCCAAAACCACUUUCUGAUUAUGAGGCAUGCCGUAGUGGAGGACUCCGGAAAUUUUGACCACCUGGGGUUCUUUAACGUGCACCUAAAUCUAAGCACACGGGUGUUUUCGCAUUUCGCAUCUGAAUUUGUUAAUAACCUGUUUCAGUGGAGCAGUGGCUCAGUGGCUAUGGAAUACUACUUCUGAGAACGAGGUCGCGGAUUCGAUUCCAGUCUGUGACGGUCACUUUCAAAUAGAGGGCAGAAUGCAAAAAAAAAGAAAAACAUAAAGAAAGACGCGCGUGUACUGUGCGUGGGGUGCAGGUAAAAGGACUGCGGUAGGCCAAAAUUAUUCCAAAGGCGGCGGCCCUCAUAAUAUCACUCUGUGGUUUCGUGGUGUUUAACUCGUAGAUUUUGAAAGAAAAAGUGUUACGAUGCGCGGUUUGGUAUGAAGCCACUUGAACUACAGUGAAAGUGAAAUUAGAGAGCUAUCGUACAGAGCCACCUGCAAAAAUUACUGGUGGGAACUCUGGCGCCACGAUGGUUCAGCUACCACGUGAAUUGUGGUUAAUGCUUGGAUAUAUCUAAGCACUCUUGUGGCUUCAAACGUUCUCGUGACACCAUUUAUUACACCUUACCUUUCUAAGUUCAUAAACGCUCAUACUUUACUCUUUAACCCAGUUAGGCAGUGCGUCUCUGCACGCAUCAUUGAUUAUAUUCAAUUGUGGUAUACGUAACGCAAUAGUUUGUUGAAAAUGAUUAAGUUAAAAAAAAACACAAAGCCGUCUGAGGCCAUAAGGACGAGGUUCAGGCAAAUCCACCUGCCAUUUAUUAUUCUCGUGAUGGCUUAACCACCAUACUUGCAGCGUCGGUCGGUACACAUUUGCGUGAGAGAUCCGUGUGGUAAUUUUUGAGGGGCAUUGUUUAAGAGACCCGUGCAUCCUUCCUCUUCUUGGACAAAACAAAGAAUGUGGGCCAAGCUACACACAUAGCGGACAUUAGUAUGCUUCGGCGCUUUUAUGCGUCACGAAUAGCGCAUAUUUCAUGAGGUGCUUAGGCGAGACCAUAGUGCGGCGCGCGCGUUAUGCAUUCCUACUUGCGCUCUCUCUGGACAGCUUUGUUUCGGGUGGCAUUGUCAUUUUGUCUUGCGUAAAAGCGCAGCAUCAAGAUUACAGUAUUUCGCUGAAUGCUCGACAAUGAGCACACAUGUGACCGUUAAGCAAAUCAAUUGUAGUUCCUGCACGAUACAGAUAAUUACAGGCUGCAUUUGAUGUUCUUGCAUCGCCGGUAUGCUUCGCGAAAAAAAAGAAAGAAAAAAAAACCAAUGUCUGCACUUCUGACAAACAACUGUCUUUGCCAAGCACUGACUGUAUCUUCGUGACGCUAAAGCUUCGUGGCGAAAAUGAUCAUAAUCAUGCGAUGAGAAAAAAAGAUCUAGAAUAAAAUUUGGAACACGAAAAGGCACCGUGUAGAUAAAGUCGGAACCACAGGAAUUUUCUUUUUUAAAGAUUGACAGCCAACAGCGCCACGACAACGUCGACGAAAGGCGAGCGCUAAAAUCAAUACUGGCCCAGGGCACAUGUCGUAUAGUUUGAGCCACAGUGCACAGCAUUCUUUAACCAGAGGCCUGAUGAUGAAGCAGCUCUCGCUACCAAUGAGGGGCGCGUCAACGCUAACAAGUGAUAGAAUCGGAAGGAACGGAGCGAAACGGCUUGGAGCGUUCGGCCUUCAGUAGUGAACUUUACGAGCGUGCCCUUCUGAACGCUUCAAAAGCUACAUUGCUUUGCAAGCGAUAGCGGCGCGUCAACGAUGGACGCUGAAAAAAGGAACCGCAAUGCUGACACAUUGCUGCGCGCCGUGCUGCCCAUAAAACGGAAAUUGGGAUGCCGAAGAAAAAAAGGU
Molecule: long non-coding RNA, 4280 nt
Organism: Dermacentor albipictus
Lineage: Eukaryota; Metazoa; Arthropoda; Arachnida; Ixodida; Ixodidae
Source: RefSeq, a predicted model, not a curated record